RNAcentral lists this unclassified non-coding RNA (333 nucleotides) under soil metagenome. RNAcentral's name for it is "partial contains 5.8S ribosomal RNA, internal transcribed spacer 2, and large subunit ribosomal RNA". The stretch from base 1 to 120 matches the Rfam family "5.8S ribosomal RNA", at positions 35 to 154 of the family's 154-position model. The record is from RNAcentral.
GAUGAAGAACGUAGCGAAAUGCGAUAAGUAAUGUGAAUUGCAGAAUUCAGUGAAUCAUCGAAUCUUUGAACGCACAUUGCGCCCGCCAGUAUUCUGGCGGGCAUGCCUGUUCGAGCGUCAUUUCAACCAUCAAGCCCCAGGCUUGUGUUGGAGCCCUGCGGCUGCCGCAGCCUCCCAAAACCAGUGGCGGGCUCGCUAUCACACCGAGUGCAGUAGUUUACUCUUCGCUCAGGGCGUGUGGCGGGUGCUAGCCGUAAAACCCCCAACUUCUCAAGGUUGACCUCGGAUCAGGUAGGAAUACCCGCUGAACUUAAGCAUAUCAAUAACGGAGGA